RNAcentral lists this ribosomal RNA (442 nucleotides) under Betaproteobacteria bacterium. Its description in RNAcentral is "bacterial SSU rRNA". It matches the Rfam family "Bacterial small subunit ribosomal RNA", at positions 59 to 498 of the family's 1533-position model. The record is from RNAcentral. Lineage: Bacteria; Pseudomonadati; Pseudomonadota; Betaproteobacteria.
CAGUCGAACGGUAACAGGCCGCAAGGUGCUGACGAGUGGCGAACGGGUGAGUAAUGCAUCGGAACGUGCCCAGUCGUGGGGGAUAACGCAGCGAAAGCUGUGCUAAUACCGCAUACGAUCUAUGGAUGAAAGCGGGGGACCGUAAGGCCUCGCGCGAUUGGAGCGGCCGAUGUCAGAUUAGGUAGUUGGUGGGGUAAAGGCCUACCAAGCCAACGAUCUGUAGCUGGUCUGAGAGGACGACCAGCCACACUGGGACUGAGACACGGCCCAGACUCCUACGGGAGGCAGCAGUGGGGAAUUUUGGACAAUGGGCGCAAGCCUGAUCCAGCAAUGCCGCGUGCAGGAAGAAGGCCUUCGGGUUGUAAACUGCUUUUGUACGGAACGAAACGGUCUGGGUUAAUACCCUGGACUAAUGACGGUACCGUAAGAAUAAGCACCGGCU